AGGAGGGAGGUGAGGAUUUGACUAGAUACACCUGUGUCUCCUGGGGGAGGGGAAGUAAAAAAAAAAAAAAAAAGACGAAAAGAGUGUGCUGGGGAGAUAUUUAAGAUGUCUUUGAAAGAGGGGAUCUAGUUGCUGUAUCUCCUAAAAAAAAAAAAAAAAAUUGUAGUAGUGAAGAAAAAGCUGCGAGGCAGUUUCAAGAACCGGCUGGAUUUUAUGGAUUUCCCCGGCCAACCAUGUGCUGCUGGCGGUGCGCCGAUGGAGAGACCUCCGGAGCAGCCCACAGGAAGCUGUGUCCAGCUGUGUGUGAAGAUGAAGCUGCAUCACACUGCCUGCAGUCGCCUGCUCAGCUUCAUAGUGAAGACACAAAUCUACAGCAACUCAGCCCACAAAACUCGACAGAGAGGAGGAUCAGUCAAAGACAGCUCCUUCCUGUGAAUCUAUGAGGCAAGACUCCCCAUGAUGCAAGGUGAAGAAGGAUUCUGGUUUCAGUCCCUUCUGUUCCAGGGCCUCUCUGAGACGAACUGGCGGCUCCAUAUAGUACUGGACAAAAGAAGGACCAGAGAAAAAGCAAGCGCAAAGGUCCCCCAGUGAAUGGCCACAGACUGUUUGGCCUGAAGGUCCUGGUGAAUCUGAACAGCCUCCGCUGGAUCUACAUGCUGCCCCUGCAUCACAUCCCUGAAAAACCAGGAGUAUUCAGAUGUUCUUACAUGUCUGUCUCUGUAACAAUGGUUAUGUAUGUUGUUAUAUACAGUACAAUAUAAUUAAAGAAUUUGAUUUGUAAAUUGUACGAUUUAAAGAUUGCAUUUCUAUUUGUUCAAGUGUCACACAGAAGAAACGUGUUUUACCCUCAGUGGCCACUUCAUGUAGGUACAAACGUACAAUCUAUGAUAAUUCAAUACAUCAGCUAGACAUAAAUUCUAAUUCCACGACCUUUAUAAUGUUCCCUUUUUUGAGAUGUGUCAGAAAUGUGUAUAGUCAAUAGUUACAGCUGGUGUUCCAUUGGACUACAUUAGAUUGUACCUGGGUAAGUACGCUCCGAUCGGGAUUGCUGCGAGGUCAAAUGGUCCAAAGCGUCGUCCUAUCUCCUGGAAGGAAGCGCAGUAGCCAGUAUCACCAGCGAAGAAGAAUCGAUGGUCCGGACCCAAAAUAGACCAGCUGCCCCAUAAAGACUGAAAGAAAUAAAAACAUGUCCCUUUCCUCUUUGUAUGUACUGAUUCAGCUUUGAAUUUAAAAUUGGCUGAAGGAAUAAAUUGUUUCAUUUAACUGCCAAGAUGUACAAGAAGUCACUGAUUCGGCUCAGAUAUAGAUGCUUUUAA
Xiphias gladius (swordfish) is the source of this 1316-nucleotide long non-coding RNA. RefSeq lists it as uncharacterized. The record is from RefSeq and is a predicted model, not a curated record. Lineage: Eukaryota; Metazoa; Chordata; Actinopteri; Istiophoriformes; Xiphiidae. The transcript is spliced from 4 exons.